GGGCUCGUUUCGGCAGCACCUAUACUAAAAUUGGAAUGAUGCAAAGAUUCUCAGGGCCCUGUGCGAGGAGGACAUGCAAAUUCAUGAAGCGUUCCAUAGUUUU
Molecule: small nuclear RNA, 103 nt
Organism: Phyllostomus hastatus (greater spear-nosed bat)
Lineage: Eukaryota; Metazoa; Chordata; Mammalia; Chiroptera; Phyllostomidae
Source: RefSeq, a predicted model, not a curated record